Non-coding RNA from Callorhinus ursinus (northern fur seal), 397 nucleotides. NCBI's taxonomy places the organism in Eukaryota, Metazoa, Chordata, Mammalia, Carnivora, Otariidae. The record is from RefSeq and is a predicted model, not a curated record.
CAAAACAUUGUUAAAUGAAAUUAAAGAUGUACACAAAUGGGAAAGAAAUCCUGUCUUCAUAGACUGGAAGAGUUAAUGUUGUUAAGACUGCAAUACUUCCCAAAAUGAUCUAAAGACUCAAUCCAAUCCCCAUCAAAACUCCAACUGUCAUUUUCCAGAAACAGAUGAGCUGACCCUAGCAUUCAUAUGGAUUUGCAAGAAACACAGAAUAGCUGAAAUAAUUUUGACAAAAAGAACAAAGUUGGAGGACAGACAUUUCCCAAUUUCAAAAUACAGUACAAAAAUACAGUAAUCAAAACAGUGUGGUACUGACCUAAGAUUAGACAUAUAUACCAACAGAACAGAACUGGGAGUCCAGAAACAAACUCAUACAUUAUGACUCCCUCUUUAACUCUCU